GACGAACGCCGGCGGCGUGCUUAACACAUGCAAGUCGAGCGGUAAGGCCCUUUCGGGGGUACGACGAGCGGCGAACGGGUGAGUAACACGUGGGUGACCUGCCCUCAGCUCUGGGAUAAGCCUGGGAAACCGGGUCUAAUACUGGAUAUGACUCCAUGACGCAUGUUGUGGGGUGGAAAGCCUUGUGCGGCUGAGGAUGGGCCCGCGGCCUAUCAGCUUGUUGGUGGGGUGAUGGCCUACCAAGGCGACGACGGGUAGCCGGCCUGAGAGGGCGACCGGCCACACUGGGACUGAGACACGGCCCAGACUCCUACGGGAGGCAGCAGUGGGGAAUCUUGCGCAAUGGGCGAAAGCCUGACGCAGCGACGCCGCGUGAGGGAUGACGGCCUGGUGUAA
Molecule: ribosomal RNA, 396 nt
Filed under: uncultured bacterium
Lineage: Bacteria
Description: bacterial SSU rRNA
Rfam family: Bacterial small subunit ribosomal RNA
Source: RNAcentral